Molecule: long non-coding RNA, 925 nt
Organism: Uranotaenia lowii
Lineage: Eukaryota; Metazoa; Arthropoda; Insecta; Diptera; Culicidae
Exons: 3
Source: RefSeq, a predicted model, not a curated record
UUAACCUCGCAUAAAAACUGGUUGCGCAACAACUCCAGGCUCGAUGAUCUAGUGUUGGAACACUGGAGAAGAUCGACCCUUCUACGCGUAAGAACGAUUAACGAAGAUUGUGUCAACGUUUUCUUUGAAUGGCCUAGACUCAAAGAUAUAAACGGAUGUAUGUUGAUCGAUAUCGAUUUCAAAAAACUUAUCGGCGAAAAAAGGCUGCUUUUUAAUCGCAGGGGUGCUUUUGUCGAGAAAUUGCGGGAGUUCAUCAAAACGUUUGAGGUCCGUGAUAAGUUAUCACAACCAUGUAUUGACCAGCUCGAAAAAGAGGAGAAUCCUUAAGAUUUCGGCAAUGUGCUUGUUGCGGCUAUAUUCCAAGGCGUUGUGAAUCCAACACAUAACUCACUGCACGAAUUGCCUACAAUUUUGCAGGCCCAACUGGAUUAGUACUUUAUUUGCAACACCCAAGACGAUCUUUCGAAUGCAGUAAACGAUUGGAUGCAAAAUUCAGCAAAUCACGGAGUAGCCAGUUUUGCACGAAUCCAGAUCUAUGGAAAUAAAAAAAAAUUGAAAGAAUUUGGAGUCACUACCGAAGGUGUCUGUUACCACGUGAAAAGCAUAGACGUAAUUAGUAAGCUCAAAUUCCUUCUACAGUUACAGUUUGCUGAAAGUUGCGAAUUGUUUUGGGUGUUCGUUACCCAUUAUUUUUAUGGUUUUACCAAUUCCUCGCCUAAAUUAAGAAAUAGUAGGGGUUACUGCAGCUAUUGGCAUUCCUGGAAGAACGGUCCUAUCAAACAGUAGGGGAGAAUGAGGAUACUUGACCCCUGGGGAUACUUGAUUCCUUAGCUAUAUCUCCAAACUGGAAUGUCGUACAAAGAUCAAAUGUUCUAGAAAAAUGUGCCAAAUAAAACAAAACAGCAAUGGUUGAAGCUCAAAAAAU